This is a long non-coding RNA of Puntigrus tetrazona (Sumatra barb), 1534 nucleotides long. RefSeq lists it as uncharacterized. The transcript is spliced from 3 exons. The record is from RefSeq and is a predicted model, not a curated record. NCBI's taxonomy places the organism in Eukaryota, Metazoa, Chordata, Actinopteri, Cypriniformes, Cyprinidae.
CACCUUCAAGAACCGGUCCACUACGGUCAAGAUGAAGUAACCCCUUUGGAGCCCGAUUGGGAAGUCUUACCACGAGCACAUACCAAAACAAAAUCCAGAAUGUCACGAGGCAUGGAAGACCACCAGAAGUUGCGUCUGGAUGGGCCGAAGCAUGUGAUUCGAAUGAGCUGACGUGAACGGACAAUCGCAACUAAACAUCUCAAAUGAGACAAAAUAUCCAAAAAAAUUUAAAUCAAGAAGGACUUUCGAGACAUGGAAAAAUUGUCGUCUUGUUUUAAGACACAAAAAUGUAAGUAAGAAAGACAUUUUUUGCUGCUUGAAUCAGUGAAUCAAUUCACGUGCAAACAUGCUGAUUCAGUGGAUCGAUUCAGACUUAUAAUAAUGAUACGUUAUUUGACUUCAAUGCAAUAAAAUAUGACAACAAAAACAGCGAAGUCAUGUCACGCUACUAUUUGUUGGAAAACAAAUCGCUUGCUAAUGCAAUUCUGAUGUACCCCAGGAGCUAGAAACACAGUAGGCAUCUAGAGAUGAAUAAAAUAAAGACAAAAAGUAUCUUCGCCGCUCAAUUUAAAAUCAUUACAAUUCAGCUCCCAUUAAACUUCAUUAGCUUCUCGGGGAAAUUAAAAAAUCAUGAAACUAUAAAAUAACCGGCAGUAUCUUGCAGCUAGAAAUCUAGUUUAUGAGAAAACAAAAGAGCGCUAGUGAAUAUAAUGACUCCAUAAUGGCACUUUAAUGACAAUCAAUACCAUUGCCCAACAUGACCCAUUCAUCUCAGAGGAGCGAGAUGGGUCUGAGGAGACUCUUUCAUUAGUUACACGCAGCUAAAAUACAUUACAGCACUUACCUGUCCUUAAUUAAAAAAUUCUCAAGCAUUGCAUCGCAAUGCAUCGUAUGGGUUAAUAAUAAAAGAUAUCGCAGCCCGAUAACACAUUUGCACGGUAAGAGAUGAUUAAAAUGGUCAAAUAAUUGUUUGGAAUAAUUCAUUGUUUGUGCGUGUGUUUGAAAAAGUCUCUUCGAAGGCUGCUUUCAUGUAAUCAAAAAUGCAGUAAAAUAUUAUUUAAACGUAAAACAACCGCUUUCUGUUUGAAUGUAUUUUCGAAUUUAAUUUACUCCUGUGAUCCAAAGCUGAAUUUUCAGCAUCAUUACUCCAGACAGUGUCACCGGGUAGCGCAUUACAGUUUUCACUAAAAUAACGAUCAGCGUAACUGUUUUCAACAUUGAUAAUAACUAACGGUGCAAAAAUCUGCAUAUUAGAAUGCGACACCGAAGGCUGGAGCGAUGACGCUGAAAAUUCAGCUUCGGAUCGCAGGAAUAAAUUGCAUUUUAUCAACGCAUAUUCAAAUAGAAACGUUAUUUGAAAUGGAAAAAAAUGAUUCACGAUAUUUCAAUAUUUUUGGUUAUAAUAGAAAAACUUUUUUAAACGCGCGUUUGACUGACAGCGUAUGGCAAAUGAAACUAAUGAAGGAAAAAAAAACCAUUCAUCCUGCCCAGCGAGACAGCCGACUAAAAUAUUUAGAGACUUGGAGCCGUUUAA